UACGUAGGUGGCGAGCGUUGUCCGGAUUUACUGGGCGUAAAGAGCGCGCAGGCGGUCGAUUUAGUCGCGUGUGAAAGCCCCCGGCUCAACUGGGGAGGGUCACGCGAUACUGAUCGACUCGAAGGCAGGAGAGGGUAGUGGAAUUCCCGGUGUAGUGGUGAAAUGCGUAGAUAUCGGGAGGAACAUCAGUGGCGAAGGCGGCUGCCUGGCCCAAUACUGACACUCAGGUGCGACAGCGUGGGGAGCAAACAGG
This 253-nucleotide ribosomal RNA is filed under the name uncultured bacterium. Its description in RNAcentral is "partial 16S ribosomal RNA". It matches the Rfam family "Bacterial small subunit ribosomal RNA", at positions 524 to 776 of the family's 1533-position model. The record is from RNAcentral.